RNAcentral lists this ribosomal RNA (521 nucleotides) under Scheffersomyces stipitis. RNAcentral describes it as "eukaryotic LSU rRNA". It matches the Rfam family "Eukaryotic large subunit ribosomal RNA", at positions 108 to 647 of the family's 3401-position model. Lineage: Eukaryota; Fungi; Ascomycota; Pichiomycetes; Serinales; Debaryomycetaceae. The record is from RNAcentral.
CUCAAAUUUGAAAUCUGGCACCUUCGGUGUCCGAGUUGUAAUUUGAAGAAGGUAACUUUGGAGUCAGCUCUUGUCUAUGUUCCUUGGAACAGGACGUCACAGAGGGUGAGAAUCCCGUGCGAUGAGAUGUCUGAUUCUAUGUAAAGUGCUUUCGAAGAGUCGAGUUGUUUGGGAAUGCAGCUCUAAGUGGGUGGUAAAUUCCAUCUAAAGCUAAAUAUUGGCGAGAGACCGAUAGCGAACAAGUACAGUGAUGGAAAGAUGAAAAGAACUUUGAAAAGAGAGUGAAAAAGUACGUGAAAUUGUUGAAAGGGAAGGGUUUGAGAUCAGACUUGGUAUUUUGUAUGUCUUGCUUUCGGGUGGGGCCUCUACAGUUUACUGGGCCAGCAUCGGUUUGGACGGUAGGAUAAUGACAUUGGAAUGUGGCACCACUUCGGUGGUGUGUUAUAGACUUUGUUGAUACUGCCUGUCUAGACCGAGGACUGCGUCUUUGACUAGGAUGCUGGCAUAAUGAUCUUAAACCG